GAGCAGUUGUGACAGCUUGGAGAUGGUGAACUUGGCUCAUAAUUAUUAUACUGGAGAAAUUACUGACGGGUUUAGCAACUGCAAGACGCUCCAUUUUCUUGACUUGAGCUCAAACAGGUUGUCUGGUCAACUUGUCGAUAAACUUCCAGUUCCUUGCAUGACUCUGUUUGAUGUCAGUGGAAAUUCUUUAUCAGGCUCAAUUCCCAGGUUUUACAACAGCAAAUGUGCUCAUCCCCCCAACACGGAUAGAGAUAUCAGUGAUAUAUCAUCUGCAUACUUGUCAUAUUUUGCUGAAAAAUCUCGAGCUGAAAUUCCUUUUGAGUCAUUUGUUGAUGGUGACGGUGUGUAUGUAUUUCAUAACUUUGGGAGUAAUAAUUUUACAGGAACCUUGCAGUCGAUGCCUAUUGCACCUGAUUGGUUGGAGGGCAAUACUAUCUAUGCAUUUUUUGCCAGUAAUAACAAGCUUUCUGGGCCAUUUCCUGGGAAUUUGUUUGAGAAAUGUGGAGAAUUGACUGGUAUGAUUGUGAAUAUCAGCAAUAAUGGAUUUUUUGGUCAAAUUCCUGCUGAUAUUGGUACUACAUGCAGAUCCUUGAAACUUUUGGAUGCCUCUGAAAAUCAGAUAACUGGGACAAUUCCUUCCAGUUUUGGGAAUUUGGCUUCAGUUGUUGCUCUUGACUUGAGCUGGAACCUUUUUCAAGGUCCAAUUCCUAGCAGUUUUGGCCAAUUAAAGGAUCUCAAGUUUCUUUCAUUGGCUGGAAAUAAUUUGACUGGCACCAUUCCCACAAGUUUGGGGCAGUUGCAGUACUUGGAAGUGUUUGAACUGUCGUCAAAUUCUCUCAGUGGUGAGAUUCCUAAAGAUCUUGCAAAUUUGAGGAAUUUAACCACUCUUCUCCUCAACAACAACAAUCUAACGGGACAGAUUCCAUCUGAGUUGGCCAACGUUGCUACUCUUUCGGUAUUCAAUGUGUCAUUCAAUAAUCUGUCUGGACCGCUACCCCAGAAUGGUAACUUGAUGAAAUGUAACAGUGUCCUAGGAAACCCGUAUCUUGGAUCUUGCCAUAUGUAUUCUUUAACAACCCCAUCUGCAGAUCAGCAGGGAAGAUUUGGGGAUCCACAGAAUUAUGCCGCUACUCCAUCUCCUACUCCACCCCAGAAAGGUGGGAACAGUGGUUUCAACUCAAUUGAGAUAGCAUCCAUAACUUCUGCUGCAGCCAUUGUGUCAGUUCUCAUUGCUCUUGUUGUCCUCUUCUUUUACACAAGAAAGUAUAAUCCAAGGUCUAGAGUUGGGGGGUCGACCAGGAAGGAAGUUACAGUCUUUACUGACAUUGGUGUUCCGCUGACAUUUGAGAAUGUGGUCCGCGCAACAGCAAACUUCAAUGCUAGUAAUUGCAUUGGUAAUGGAGGAUUUGGAGCAACCUACAAGGCUGAGAUUGCACCGGGGGUCCUAGUGGCAAUAAAAAGGCUAGCAGUAGGACGCUUUCAAGGGGUUCAACAAUUUGAUGCAGAAAUCAAAACUCUAGGCAGACUCCGUCAUCCGAAUCUUGUGACUUUGAUAGGAUACCAUGCCAGUGAAACAGAGAUGUUUCUUAUAUAUAACUAUUUGCCUGGGGGAAAUUUGGAAAAGUUCAUUCAGGAAAGAUCUACAAGGGCUGUGGAUUGGAGAGUACUGCACAAGAUUGCCCUGGACAUAGCCCGUGCACUUGCCUACCUGCAUGAUCAGUGUGUCCCACGUGUUCUUCAUCGCGACGUGAAGCCUAGCAAUAUCUUGUUGGAUGAGGACUACAAUGCAUAUUUGUCUGAUUUUGGAUUGGCUCGUCUGUUGGGAACUUCAGAGACCCAUGCCACGACUGGUGUGGCCGGAACUUUUGGAUAUGUUGCCCCAGAAUAUGCAAUGACUUGCCGUGUCUCUGACAAGGCUGAUGUCUACAGUUAUGGCGUCGUGUUGCUUGAGUUAAUUUCAGAUAAGAAAGCUCUCGAUCCCUCAUUUUCUCCAUACGGAAAUGGUUUCAACAUAGUAGCUUGGGCAUGCAUGCUCUUGAGGCAAGGCCGAGCCAAGGAGUUCUUCACAGCUGGAUUGUGGGACGCAGGUCCCCAUGAUGAUUUGGUUGAAGUUCUACACUUGGCAGUUGUGUGCACAGUGGAAUCCCUAUCAACCAGACCCACUAUGAAGCAAGUCGUGAGACGGCUGAAGCAACUCCAGCCGCCAUCUUGUUAGCUACAGUACAGAGGAGUCAGCUGAUUGACACAUUUGAUGCAUAGAGGGGGUCAGCCCGCGGACUUGCACUUUUGACUGCAGAAGUGCACUCGGGGGUCUUCACGGGCUGCCACUAGAUUCGGAUUUUAAAGUUUAGGUGCUUGUAAAUUGUAGUAUAGCUUCUGCCCCCAUUUUUCCAUAUCAAUGUCCCUGAUUAGAGAGGGGGUUCACUGAUGGAUCUGCAGAAGAAUGCAGAUAUUCGUUUCUUAAGGUUGUAUACAUGUAUUCAAUUUCUGUUUGCUGCUGUGAAAUAAGAGUCACAAAGAGAAUCAUUCUGCAGAACACCUGCCACUUCAAAAUUGGCCGUGAUAUUUGAUUCUCGUGUACCGUGCCUGAAAUUUUAGAAGUUGCAAUCCCGAAAGAUGUGACUUUUGCCUUCUCCCUCCUCCAGGGAAAGAAAUAUUGCCCGCUUGGGCCAUUAGUAUUGUUCACUGGGUCAAAGCCUGUUUCUCCCAGCCCUCAUAUUAUUUGCUCGGGGACAUCGCUGUGAUCUCUGCCUGAUGCUUUAAAAAGAAAGGAUAGAUCUUCGUGAUCUCUGCCUAAUAUGCUCGGUCAGUGGCCUCGCCGUGUCCGGUAUUACCCCUUUAAUUUGUCCCAGUCUUCUCUAUGAUUCUCUGCCUUGCGGGCGUUUGCAGACGCAACCAUCCAUUCACUUUCGCUUGAUAUCUCUGUUAUGGAUUAGUCAAAAAAGAACCCGUUUAAGGAGCAGUACUCCGUGCCCAUGCAUCCCGAGAAUUGCUAGAGUUUUGUCGGAAGCCAUACCGGACAUGGAAAUCCGCUAAAAGAGAUAUAAAAUCAACGGAUACCAUCAUAUUGGCGCAUAAUGAAAUAGUAGCAUAUAGAGACCGGGAAGAAGACCUCAUUUGAAAGUAGGAAGUAACAAAAGAAACAACGGAACCCCUCAGCAGUCAAGGCGUCAGCCUAACACAAACAAAUUUAACCAAUAAGUGAUGGACGUCAUUAAAUAAAAUUGGGCAAAUGAAGAAAAACUAAGCAGCGAUGACUAAGUGCUAAGGGGGUUCAUGUUACAGCUUCCUUGCUACAAUUAAGGGUGAAGGGUUAACAACUAUAUGCCUCAAUGGGUGCUCUACUUCAGUUCCGCCUGCAUGCUUGACAAACUCGGCCGGAGACAGGAAGCUUCCAUGGCAAACGCACACAAUUUUUACUUCCUCUCCUUUCUGAUAUCUAUACAAAAAUCCUUCUAUCUUUUUACCAUUUGGCCCAUUUCCAGUUGUGGAGACACAAGGCAUAUCAAGCAUUACAUUCUUGAGCAUCUCCUUUGCUUCUUUUGCUCCCUUGUCAACUGCUGCCUUGCCAACCACUGAUCCAGGAGGCACUUGAGGUUUUUGCUCAUGGUGAACCUUAAGAGAUUGCACGCUGGAAGGGCUCUUUGUGCCAUUCUUUUCGUUCACUGCAGCAAUUAAGAUGCAGUUAAAAGACCGGGGGGAAAAAAUUACAGAUCAAAUAUGCAUCUUCAGGAGCACUUGUUAACAAUUGGAAUCUUCAUCACUAAGUGACAAACUAAUUUUUCCCAUAGGGCAAAGUGGAAAAACUGAGAAUCACAUGAUCCUAUAAAAAAAGCUUGAGCGAACACAUCACAUACACAGCCAGAAAAAUGCUAGGAAUGGUCAAACGCGGAGUACCAACCAACCCAGCAAUGUUGCAUAAUUUGACUAAAAUGGCUAUUCCAAUAAAAGAUCGAAACAACGGUACUUUUGUUACAGCUAAAACAACAUCCUUAACAAAUUGUUCUGGAUGCUUAGUUUUAAAUUUGCAUUCAGUAAAGAUUUCAACGGAUACUCGCCCAAAUUCAUAUUAACCAGGAAUGUUUAUCCAAGAUAAGCUCGAUUCUUAUCCCAUUCAGAUACACUCCGGGGAAUUAGUUUUUCAAGCUGCCCGGCCAGUGUCGCUUUUCUUUUCUAAUCAAAACUUACCUACCAUGAAAGGAGCUUGAUAUUCUCCACAAGGGCAAACUAUUUGAAAAUAAUUAACUCUUUGUCCAAACAUCAAUAUGGUAACUCGAGAAGGGUAUUAAACGUGGUGCCAAAAUAUAGCAACAAAGUUUACGCAUGGACAAAAGACUUGUAAGCAUUAGCAAUAAGUGCAUGGCCAGAAAAGCAAACCAAGAAAUAGGACCUACCGAAGCCACAAAAGAAUGGAAAAUGGGUUUCUGAAUCAGUUAAAAUUAUCAAAAUAUCAUUUAACUAAGACAAAUUAUUCAAUUAUGCUCAUAAGCUAUGGCAGUAACCAGUAUAGAAAGACAAUUCAUCGUGUCAUGCUUAAAGAGGAAACAUAACUAUGUCCACAAAAACUUCAGAGAAGCAUAUGUCAAAUCCAAUUGACUACGCAUAAAUCUUGCACUCGUAUUUUUAGUGAAUGGCGAGUAAGCAAAAUCCAAAAAGGUUAAAUCACUUAAUUCUCUAAACUUGGUCAAAAUUUUAGUUUUGCAAACUUUGGUUUAAACUUUCCAAGCAAAGAUAUCUAUACCACUAACCUACCUGAUUUCUAAUUUCUUUGAGAGGCAAGGCAACUCCAUACAUAUUACUCAUUGUGCUCAAGUUGAUUGAAACACAUAUCCCACGAAUAAAGCUGAGCUUAAAAGAACCCUAGCCCAACUCUUACAACAACAAUACGAAAAUAGAUUUUGAAGAAGCAUCUGUCUAUAAAAGGAAGCUAGCUAAGCGCAAUUCCUGAAUACAGACUCCACAAUUUCACAUCUUAGAAACCAUUAGGAUCAAAUCAAGCAAGAAGCAAUUUUUCCAUUUGUAUACUCAGAACGUAACCAACCCUCCUCCCCUCCCCCAACCAACCAAAGCACGCUCGCACACACUCACGACAAGCUGCAAAUGCAAGUACACCAAAUUAACCGUGACAACAAAUUUUAAGGAGAAAAAAUGUAAAAGUUACCAACAAAGGUAAGAAAUAAAACGGAUAAAGAAUAAUCCUAAAAGAGUAAAUACCUUGAAUGGGUUGACUAUGGAAUUCAGAAAUCUCAGAGAAAGCACUGCCUUGUGAUCCAAUUGAUGCCUGGGAUGAUGGCAUCAUAUUUCCAUUCCCGUUCCCAUUAAUGCUGUCUAAACCUUGGCAACUAUUAUUGGUAUUAGUACCAUUACUCUCAUUUUCUUCACCAGAAUAAUCCUCCGGCUCAACCUUCUCCCUCCCAACCCUCAUAAUCUUAAUCUUAUCCAUCCUCCUCCUUUUAGCCUCCAUCCUCCUCAACGACUGCAACUCCUUCCGCUUCCUCCACUCCUGCUCUGUCUCCGUUGGCAGAGAACAAGUCCUUGACAACGGCGAAUACGAAGCAAUUGGCACCAAUGACGCGUGGCUUUCUUCACCGCCUGCAACACCAGCGUACAUGAAAGUUAAUACAGAAGAAGAUCGCAUUAACUUCAUCUUAGCCUGUUUUGGGUCCACCCCAAACCUUCCAUUCAAUGACAGCCCCAAACUUAACUCCACCUCUUCUUCUCCAUUAUCAACCCCGAAUUUUCUUGAUAAAGUAUUCCCGUUCGGCAAGUUAUUGAACAGUAGAUCUUUUGAAAAUCCAUUGACUUGAGUGGGCAAAUGGCCCUUUCCUUUAUUUUCUCCAGCCUCUGCCAUGUAGUUCACCAGCAUCAUUAAUAGAAAACCCAAAAAGAUUCAAUCUUGAAGAUGCUCAGAUGGAAAUAGUCUUACUCCACCAGUAAUAAUUCAAGUAAAUUUCAUUUUCCCUCGCCAAAGAGAACAAGGAAAAAAACAAAGACAAAAGGAAAGAAACAGAUUUAUGGGUCCAGAAAACCUCAUAACAAGGUAAAAUAACAAGUUGUGCAAAUCUCUGAUAAUGUGAAGAAGGAACUCAAAAGAAUUUCGAGGGAAGAGUUCGCCGGCGAGGUGGAGAGCGCCAUGACCGCGAGGGAGACAACAUAAACAAAUGUGAAUAAAUGAAAAGAGCAAUGGGAAAGAAACUGGGGAAAAGAAAUAAAAGGGAGAACUUGAAAUUGGCCUGGGGAGCAUGAAAAGACGAAAAAGGACAGAGAUAUUGAAACGCAAAUGAGUUAGACGUGACACGUGGAUGGGGUGAAGUAUCAUGAGACGACCCACGUGGUUAAGACAAGCUGGUUUGGAGGACGAGGACGGGGAUGACGACGUCAAAAAGCCAAACAAGCGUCCAAAAAGAUGUCUCCUCAACGGACGAGGAUUAUGAGAUAACGGAAGCUACGGACACGUGUAUGUAAAUUUGGGGAUAAAGCGGAUUGGCUUUGCCACGUUGUCAGAAAAUCCCGAACUCGUAAUGCCGCGACGUUUCAUUCAUUCUCUCUUCCCUACCCUUUUUACUCUGUAUGUAUCUUCUGCUGCGUUUACUCCUCCUCCCUAUGUCAAAAAUAAUAGGCUCUAUUUGGAUUCAAGCUCGUUUGGAUUGACUAUUUUUUCAAAAACAGUUUUUCAAAAACAAUAAAAGUUACAACAAAGUAUUCUAAAAGAUAAUCUAAAAAUUAAUUUAAAAUUUUUUAAAAUUUUACCAAAUAUCUCAAAAUAAAGUGCCAAUAAAAAAUAUUUCAAAAUAUUUUCUAAAAAUAUUUCAAAAUAUACUCUAAAAACUCUGCUACAGCAAAGUUUUUCAAAAACAUCCCCAAAAACAGCUAAUCCAAAGAGUUUUUCAAAAAUUAAAUUUUUAAAAAAUAUUUUAAAAAUAGUUUAAAUUUUUUUAAAUAUUUAAAAAGUAUCUCAAAAUAUAUUCUAAAAACUCUUUUAUUCUAAAAUAUUUCAAAAUAAUUUUAAAAAGUACUCUAAAAAAUAGUCUAAAUUUUUUAAAAGUUAAAAAAUAUUUCAAAAUAUAUCCUAAGAAAGACUCUUAAAUAUCUUAAAAUAUUUUCUAAAAUAUGGUAUAAAAACUCUGCUAUAGUAAUAUUUUUUAAAAAUAGCUAAUCUAAAUGGACUCAUUGUACUUUAGUUUGCUAAUUUUCAUUUACUUGUAUUAUUAACAUAUUUUAAAAUUAUUUUUUAUUUUACCUAUAUCACAUCAAAAUAAGUGUUAUAAUACUUUUUUAAAAUAUUAUUCCAAAUGAUCUUCUGUCCACAUACACUCCAAGUUCUUCCCUUAGGUUUUUCUUUUCUCGCUUUAUAAUCUUUCUAGAUCCUCAAUGGCGCUCCGUUUGAAUUAACUGUUUUUUGAGGUAUUUUUGAAAAAUUUUAUUAUAACAAUGUAUAUGAAAAAAAAUUUACAGACUAAAUUUUUUUUUUUGAAAUAUUUGAUAUAUUGUAUGGAUGAGAUGUUUUUUGAUUUAUUGUGUAUUAUUGUAGCAUUGUAUUUGGAAAACUUGUUUUUGAAAAAAUGGCAAUUCCAAAUAGAGCCAGCAUUAAUGAAAAACUACUUAUUCCAGGUCAAUUAAUCAGUAAUUCAAUCAAAUUAAAUUGGUUAAAAAUAUUUUUUGCUACAACGAAAUCCAAUAGCAUUGAUGAAAACCUAUUUAUCAAUCAGUUUAUCGAUAAUUCAAUUAGGUGAAAUUGGUUAGAAUAUAAUUUUUGCCCUUUUCACUUCCAAUCAAAAUUGAAGCCCAUUUUAUGUUGAUUGAAUUGAAAUCAAUUUAACUGAAAUCAAAAAUCGAUUUGAAAGUUGGUUAAUCAAUUUGGUUGAAGUCCCAGGAUUUAGAAGUCAUGAUUCAUACCCGUCACCUCUCUCCACUUCUUAAAUUCCAUCCAUCUAUUGUUAGAAAAAAUUAAGAAAAAAACUUAACCAAUUCAAAUUUUGAUUAAAAAAGAUAAAGUUCAACAUGCACUUCUUAAAAUAAUAAAACCACAUGUUUUUACUUUGACUAUAAAUAUACAUAUCAUAUAUAUUGUAAAAUAAUAAUAUACAACUAUACAUGUCAUAUAUAAUAUAGGGGGUAUAUGGAAUAGUGAAAAAAAUUAACUUCAAUUUUUUGAUUAAAACUAAAAUUGGUAAUUCAUAAUAGUUUUCAACUAAUUGACCGUUUUCAAAAAUCGAUUUUCAUUGAAACUGAAUUGAAAUCAAUUUCCAUGAUAAUCGAUUCAUUAAGUUUAAUUAAAUUGAGCCGAAAAUUCAAUUAACCGAAUUGUUGCCUACCCCUACCACACUUAGGAUGCGUUUGAUAAAAUUGAAAUCUGAAAUCAAGUUUGAAUUCAUUAAAUUAUUGAAUUGUUAAAUAUUAAAUCUAAUACAUGUGAGUGUAUAUUGCAUUCAGUGAUAACUGAAUAGCUUAUCAUUUAAUUUUGAAAGCAAGUUUUGGCUAGAAAAAUUCAGUGCUACUUAAUUAAUUCAGAUGUUCAAUUUUUUAUUAUCAAACGUUCUGAAUAUGUUAAGAUAUGAAUUCAUUAAACUUAAGUGUUGAAUUGAAUUAUCAAACAGGGCCUUAGUUUCAACUUUUUUGUGAGUCAACUAAUUCCCAGUUUUCAUCAAAAGCGAUUAAUGCAUAAUUAGGUCUUGCUUGGAUUAUAAUUUUUCAAAUUUUUUAUUAAAAAAAGAAUAGUAUAGCAAUAUGAAAUACACGACACACAAUGACAAUUGGAAAGCGUGUCAGAAGAAUAAUCUUCUUUUUUAAUGAAAAUCCAAAUGCCCUCUAAUUUUCUGAAAACUUCAUUUAAGAAAUACCAUGUUGGCACGCUAUAAACUCCCAAGAAUGUUUCCAAAGCUUCAAAUAACAAACCUAAGAAAGAAUCAAUUGAGCUGUUGUCUUGGAUCAAAUCAGUCUAAAUCUACGUACAGCAUGACCAACGAUGUCUAUAUCUAUCUGCUUUUUUAGCGUCCCGCUGUUUUCAUAAGAUGUCAUCAGUCAGAUUAUUUAACAUACCGAGCGAUUAAGAUGUCAUCCUGCGCUGUGCCUUGAAAACAAAAGAUUUUCCGUUUUGCCUUUCGCUACUGAGAAAGAGGAUAAAGCCGUUUCUUUUUGGGUCGACUCGGAGGGUAAAGUUUUAACUGAACUCAAAAUUUCGUCAUCCAAUCGAAGCCGUCAAUUUAAACUUUACACCGUGAAAGAAAAAGAAAGGAAAAAAAAAAGGUGAAAUUGCCGAACCACGUAUUGAUUUGCGGUGUUAAUCAUUCUGACGCCAACGAUUUGGAAGCACAAAAGUUUGACAACAAUAAUGACUGUGGGGCUUCUGUUGGAGGAUUUGUCAUCGUCUCUCAAAUCAAUGUCUGGGAUCGGUUGCCCGUCAAGAUUUUGACACGUAUACGUCUCAUCGGAGCUCCGGUUUUUGCCCUCUCGUUUACGUUGCUGAUUGCUCGAAUAACCCUUGCGAAAAGCAGAAAUUUUGAGCCUUCGCGGAUUCAAAACUAUCAAUAGAUAAACGAGGUAAAUUACAUGUUUUGGUUUUUCUUUUUCAGAAUUAGAAUGUGAAGCUUUUUAGUAAGUAUUACUUUCAAGUUCCACCAGCUUUAUAUUUUUGGUAUGAUGACUUCUGCUGCUGCUGAUUUCAUAUGUUAAACAAUUAAUUACUUCCAUUUUGCUGCGAUAUCGGAUUUGUGGACCAUUUGUUGUACUUUUAACGUUGAUUGGGUUCACCCCAAGUCACGUAAGUAUCUUUUUCCUUUAUCGUUUUGCUGGAGACAGAGGUGGUUGAUUUAUUAUUAUUAUUUUUUUGGCUGAUGGAAUGGGUGUCCGGAUCAAUCUUUACGAAUCUGAUUAAUCUCACUCCGACCUGGAAGAAGAGGCCCCAUCCCCCGACUACGAUAGUCACAGGACUCGGACCCUUGCGGACACUGGACACCAACUCCUAAGAAGAUUUGUUGAGACUAAUCGAGUUGUUCAUGAAGGACAGACAAUUUAGUGGGAGGCAUGGGUCGAACCCUGACCUCCUACCUACCGGGUUUAGCUCAGUGGUUACGGAGGUGGUUGAUGAAGUUGUUGCAGUUGCAAACGAAGGUGACUGAGACACGUGACACUGCCAUUGUCAGUGCUAAUGGAUGGCAUUAACCAGCCAGUUGUGGCUUCAAGGACAUGGUGAAUGUAGUUCUUCUGAGUUGGUGCUUUUUUGGGAUGCCAAUUUCCAAUUUGGUCCAAUAAAAAUGAUUAGAAGCUAGAACUCGCAAGAGAUGAAUUGGAUUGAAUGGUUCGAGAGAUGAGGAAGAGAUUCGUAAUUUAAAUCUUCUCAUUUGCAUUAAAAAAGGAAAAGGUUAGAAUUUUUAAAUUUUUUUCUUUGAAGUACAUAGACAAAUAAAGCAGUCAAUUCAGCUGAUGGAGACAUAAAAACAAAUGAUCAAGGACUGGAAAAGGUACUAAAAUCUGAAUUUUGGAGAAUAGGGCAAGUGGAUCGAUUGGGCAACAUUUAUUUUUAUUCACUUCCGUCACCUUGAGCGUGAAAUAAAAAUUGCUUGCAUGUCUGAAAGACAGCUGUCGUAAUCGUCAACAAAGAAAUUGCGCAACUUGCUCGCGCAAAUUGUGUUAGUUUAACACCAAAGCCCGUCAUGUUGCCAAUUUGCUUGAAAAAGAAAAGGUAGUCAAGAAAAUGGCAAAAGCAGCCGUCACCUCCUCUCAAUCACGUCCUCAUUAUUCAAGUCUUCUUCACUUCUAGCAGUCCCAAACAUUUUUGCUUCUUCGUAGGUAUGUAAUGGAGCUGAGUCGAGCUUGAGUAUUGCUAGCUCGAGUUUGAUUGAAUUGAAAAAUCUCAAACUCGAGAAAAUCAUUAAAAGUUUGAGACUUGACUCGUUAAAGUUCGACCUUUAGUCAAGUUUUAUCGAGUCGACUAAUCAAGUUUUUUGACUCGAUAUCUUAUUUGUAAAUUCAAUAUAGAUUAUACCCAUAACAGUCAUUUUAUAAUUAUAAUACAUAUAUAUUAUUUAAAUUAUACGGCUCGACGAAUUACGAACGGCAAAAUUCUGACUCAAACUCGAUUCGAAUGUGUACUCGAGUCGAGUAGCUCGAGACUCGGGUGAAACUUGGUUUGACUGAGUUCAAAACAAGUCAUUGACCAAGCUCGCGAGUAGCUCGGCUGGCGUACAUCCCUAGGUAAUAUUCAGAAGCAUAUUACCCAUUACUAUGAACUAGUAUUUCAAUUCAAUGGUGAAUAGUCUAUUUGGGUGAGAGAAAUUUAUCAUCGCUUGAGAUAAGAUUAUCAAAGUGGUGCAUGACUUUCUCGGUAUCUCAUCAAAGCCCAACAAUGAAGAGCCUAAAGCUCUAUCCCAUAGUUCAAACCAAACUAGUGUAAUGUUCAUGUAAAAUCUAAAUUUAGGGUUCUAAUAAUUAUUAAGCAUGCAGGAUUAUAGAAUUGAAGGGAUAAAAUAAUAACUCAAAAUAUAUUUAUGUAAGAGAGAAGAAAAUAAAUAAUUUACACUAUUAUUGAAAUAUGAAACAACAGAAGAAAAAGUCACGUCACAGUAAAACUUUACAUACUCCUCUUGACUAAUUUCUAAAAAAUAUCCUAACUAAUAUCGUAUUUAUAAUCUAUCAGACUUGUUGGGUGAAAAAUCACUUGGAUGAUCAAUUAUCAAAUAAAACACAUACACUGCUAAAAGCCCAACUUUAAUAAAAAAAACUUGUAAAAAAAUGAAUAAAAACUUCUAAAGUUAGUUCAUUUUAUCAACAUUGCCUCAUUUGAAUUAAACUCUCAAUCGAGGCGAAUCCAGCUCCAUCUAUAGCAAUAAUUCUAUUGAAAAUUCAAUUGGCAAAUAGACGAUACGCAACGCGUCAUCUUCAUCUUCAUUUUUACACAUAAUAGUGGGUGCACUUUAUAUUUUGCAAAUAAUUUUUCAAUAAUUUCAUCAUGAUCAAGGUACUAAUUCAUACAAAUCUAUUAAUUAUCACAGUCAUCAUAUUUACCACCAAUAUAAGUGUCUAAGAAUAUAACAUUAUAUAUUGUUUUCUUUCUUGCUAAAGUUAUCACUACAAAUAAAUCAGAGUAGCUAUAACCGUACUCAUCCAAAAAAUUCAUACCACAAAUUAAGUUUCUCAUGUAAAAAAGUUUUUCAACUCCAAUAAAAAAUGAUCAACCAAAUUAAAUAUUUUUAUCAUAUUGAAGAGAGUUCGAACCAACAAAAUUUUCAAUAACAAUCUUUUUUCCUUGACAUUUUAAAUUAGAAUUUUCUUCUUCUUUUUUUUUUUUUACCAAAUUAACAAAUUCAUUUUUUGAAAAAAAUUUCAUCACUCUUAAUUUUUCCAAACAAGAUAUGCAAAUCAAAACUUUUAAACAUAUAAUUUUCUUCAUCAAAACUUUCAAACUUUCUAUGUUUUAGGUGUCAGAAAAGCUAUUCACCCCUUCCUUGGCUUAUUGGUCUGCGAAUGAGUGUUACUUUCGCCAUUAUUUUGCAAGUAAGUAUUUAUUUUACUUUCGCUGCUUAAUUAUCUAUGCUAAAAUUGGUUUAUUUGGUUCAGCCAUGGUUUACUGAUUAACUUCAUAUUCUGAAGUCAUGGUGAUUUGACUAACUAAUCAAUGAUCUCUUGCUAAUCCAUACACCCUUUUGUAUUUUGGUAUAAAUAAAUUGAAUCUAUACAUACAAGACACACACAAGUUGUGACACAAGCAUACCUUUUUUUUUUUUUUUUUUUUUUAGUUAACCGUCUGGAAUUGCUAAUUGUGAUUAGAAUGGUGAAAGCUGAUGAACAUUGAACUUUCAGUGGGUGUGACUUUUAUUUGUCAACAUGUGGUCCCAAAAGAAUCACCCAAAAAUAAGGCAAGAAUACCCUUGGUGGAGGAGAUCAAGAAUGGAGCCCGCAAGGCCGCAAGUUGCUGGAAAAGCUGUUGGGUGGUUGCCACGUGGUGGAAGUCCACGUGUCCAAUUUUCAUAGCACAUGGACAGGUAAGCAGCAUCAAACAACUAGUUGACGGCGACAGCACCAGAAACCAGUAUCAUAAAUCACAUCGUACGGCUGGCGUCGUCUGGUCAGAUGCAUGUGAGCAAGUUGUUCCCAGUUGAACUUGGGGGGCACCUUCUCGGACCAUGGUUUUUGGUGGUGAGGAUAUUUGAACACUGCGUGUGCUUUACUCCCCAUUUCGGACCGUUUUGCCCCAUUGCUAGCUAAAAGUAAUUUCGACGGCAUCACUAAUUUUGAAAUUAACAACAACUUUCGCAUCUAAAAACCUAAGAAAUUACCCUUUAUAUGUAGUAUUAUCAAUACAAUAAUGAAAAGUGGCGCUUCAACACUUCUUAGCUUGCACAUUUUAAUUGAGUAUGUGUGGUUUUGCUUUUAAUUUUUUUUUUGAUUUGAUAAUUGUCAUAUUUUACAACAGCAAAUGUGCUCAUCCCCCAACACGGAUAGAGAUAUCAGUGAUAUAUCAUCUGCAUACUUGUCAUAUUUUGCUGAAAAAUCUCGAGCUGAAAUUCCUUUUGAGUCAUUUGUUGAUGGUGACGGUGUGUAUGUAUUUCAUAACUUUGGGAGUAAUAAUUUUACAGGAACCUUGCAGUCGAUGCCUAUUGCACCUGAUUGGUUGGAGGGCAAUACUAUCUAUGCAUUUUUUGCCAGUAAUAACAAGCUUUCUGGGCCAUUUCCUGGGAAUUUGUUUGAGAAAUGUGGAGAAUUGACUGGUAUGAUUGUGAAUAUCAGCAAUAAUGGAUUUUUUGGUCAAAUUCCUGCUGAUAUUGGUACUACAUGCAGAUCCUUGAAACUUUUGGAUGCCUCUGAAAAUCAGAUAACUGGGACAAUUCCUUCCAGUUUUGGGAAUUUGGCUUCAGUUGUUGCUCUUGACUUGAGCUGGAACCUUUUUCAAGGUCCAAUUCCUAGCAGUUUUGGCCAAUUAAAGGAUCUCAAGUUUCUUUCAUUGGCUGGAAAUAAUUUGACUGGCACCAUUCCCACAAGUUUGGGGCAGUUGCAGUACUUGGAAGUGUUUGAACUGUCGUCAAAUUCUCUCAGUGGUGAGAUUCCUAAAGAUCUUGCAAAUUUGAGGAAUUUAACCACUCUUCUCCUCAACAACAACAAUCUAACGGGACAGAUUCCAUCUGAGUUGGCCAACGUUGCUACUCUUUCGGUAUUCAAUGUGUCAUUCAAUAAUCUGUCUGGACCGCUACCCCAGAAUGGUAACUUGAUGAAAUGUAACAGUGUCCUAGGAAACCCGUAUCUUGGAUCUUGCCAUAUGUAUUCUUUAACAACCCCAUCUGCAGAUCAGCAGGGAAGAUUUGGGGAUCCACAGAAUUAUGCCGCUACUCCAUCUCCUACUCCACCCCAGAAAGGUGGGAACAGUGGUUUCAACUCAAUUGAGAUAGCAUCCAUAACUUCUGCUGCAGCCAUUGUGUCAGUUCUCAUUGCUCUUGUUGUCCUCUUCUUUUACACAAGAAAGUAUAAUCCAAGGUCUAGAGUUGGGGGUCGACCAGGAAGGAAGUUACAGUCUUUACUGACAUUGGUGUUCCGCUGACAUUUGAGAAUGUGGUCCGCGCAACAGCAAACUUCAAUGCUAGUAAUUGCAUUGGUAAUGGAGGAUUUGGAGCAACCUACAAGGCUGAGAUUGCACCGGGGGUCCUAGUGGCAAUAAAAAGGCUAGCAGUAGGACGCUUUCAAGGGGUUCAACAAUUUGAUGCAGAAAUCAAAACUCUAGGCAGACUCCGUCAUCCGAAUCUUGUGACU
RNAcentral lists this long non-coding RNA (14739 nucleotides) under Coffea arabica (coffee). RNAcentral's name for it is "long non-coding RNA (CARA_LNC004840)". The record is from RNAcentral. Lineage: Eukaryota; Viridiplantae; Streptophyta; Magnoliopsida; Gentianales; Rubiaceae.